CCUACGGGAGGCAGCAGUGAGGAAUAGUGGGCAAUGGACGAGAGUCUGAACCAGCCAAGUAGCGGGAAGGAGGACGGCCCGAUGGGUGGUAAAAGUCUGUUAUAGGGGAAGAAAACAGGGUAUGCAUACCCUCUUGUAUGUACCAUAUGAAUAAGGAUCGGCUAACUCCGUGCCAGCAGCCGCGGUAAUACGGAGGAUCCGAGCGUUAUCCGGAUUUAUUGGGUUUAAAGGGAGCGUAGGUGGAUUGUUAAGUCAGUUGUGAAAGUUUGCGGCUCAACCGUAAAAUUGCAGUUGAAACUGGCAGUCUUGAGUACAGUAGAGGUGGGCGGAAUUCGUGGUGUAGCGGUGAACUGCUUAGAUAUCACGAAGAACUCCGAUUGCGAAGGCAGCUCACUGGACUGCAACUGACACUGAUGCUCGAAAGUGUGGGUAUCAAACAGGAUUCGAUACCCUGGUAGUC
RNAcentral lists this ribosomal RNA (460 nucleotides) under uncultured bacterium. RNAcentral's name for it is "partial 16S ribosomal RNA". It matches the Rfam family "Bacterial small subunit ribosomal RNA", at positions 338 to 795 of the family's 1533-position model. The record is from RNAcentral.